Molecule: long non-coding RNA, 889 nt
Organism: Perca fluviatilis (European perch)
Lineage: Eukaryota; Metazoa; Chordata; Actinopteri; Perciformes; Percidae
Exons: 3
Source: RefSeq, a predicted model, not a curated record
AUUUUUCCAGGAAGUAAAAAUCCCACAUGGCAAACAAUUAUGUGAAAAUGUAGAUCACUGCCUCCAUUCUUAAACAUGCUGAACAAACAAAGAUGCACAUUAGGAGGCAGAGCAAAUGUAAGGUUGAGUUUGAUUCUGAAUUAGGUAGCCAGCCAAUUCCUUCCUGCAUUAAAUGCCAAAGAAAAUGGAAAAGUUUGCAAAUGCAAGACCCACACACUCAAUCUGCUGCAAAGAAAGGAAGGCAGCUAUGCUGUGUUUUCAACUAGCAGCAGUAUGUGGAUAAAAACUGAACUUUUAAGCUGACAUACUUUUCAAACUGAUAAAAAUGCACAGUUCUUACUGGUCGUCAAGUCUCUGGUAAAGCUGGAGGCCAAGAGGGAGGACUUUUAUAAGAGAACAGAUGUCUUCAUGAAGAUGGCUACAUGGACUUUUUCCAAGUGACAACAAACUGCAGAUCUACAAAAAUAUUAUCACAAUUACCCUGUGAGCCAGGACGGGAGGGAACUCCCCGCCGCUCGUGACUGUCUGUGUGCCACCCUCGGGCUUGUGGUCUGGUCGGAUUUGUGAAACACUGACAGACAACCCCUUCAUCAAGCCUGUCAAACAAGGAUGACAAAUGCGUCUCCACAUCCCCAAGAUGCCUACAAUAUUUAAAGCCAUGGGAGAAUGGCGAAGCUGACAGAGAAUAGCAGACGCAAAGUUCAAGCCGCGUCAGGCUGUAUCAUUCUCAAAUUCUGAGGAGAGACUCUGAGUUGAACCUGAUGGCAUGUUGACUUAAUGAUUCUGACAGAGCAUAUAUGGUGUCUGUCUCAGGUUUCUACAAGGCAGUGAAGUCAAGUCAAAAUAUAUUUCAUCGACUUAAAGAGGGAUUUGCUUACAAUGCUGCAUA